This is a non-coding RNA of Paramormyrops kingsleyae, 3778 nucleotides long. Lineage: Eukaryota; Metazoa; Chordata; Actinopteri; Osteoglossiformes; Mormyridae. The record is from RefSeq and is a predicted model, not a curated record.
UAAAUCAUGUAACCAAUCAGCUUGGUUAACUGUUUUGCAUGUGGUGGCUAACACGACGAUCACACACAUAUAUAGUUUGGGGUGUGAAAUUAUUACAAUGGGAAACUACAUUAUGUAUUUUGAACAAGACUUAAGCAACUAAUAACUGUGCCAAAUGCUGACAAUUGUAUAAAACUAUUUGCUUAUAUCUACUAAAAAAUUUGGAUAUUUGUGUGAAACAAUGAAAAAUGAUGUUCUGCAAGUGCUGUGGUGUUGGGAUUACAUUUAUUGUUUUGCAGAAGUUAAUUGUCAUUUGAGUAAUACACCAAAGACGUCGAGAAACACUGUAAAAACAAAGUUGCCAACUCUCACGCAUCUGGCAUGACAGUCACACUUUUAGACUCUCACACUCACAAAAGAAAUCUAAAAUUAGCUACAUAAAAAAAUUAGCUACUUCAAAAGCAUUGCGUUAGUGUGCAAAACCUACAGACUAUUUACAGUACAAGGUAAUACAGUUUCUCUUAAUUGCUUAAAUGCAGUUCUCAAAACACUAACCUCAUUUCCGUAACAUAGCCUCAAAACUUCACAACCUUAACACCACAGCAAAUAGUAAAGCACAUUUUGCAAAUCAUUAAGUAUAUACAUCAUUGCUUUGGGCAGUGGUGUCCUAAUGGUUAGGGAAGCACACUUGUAAUUGAAAGAUUGCAGGUUCAAAUCCAUGGUCACUGAGGUACCCUAAGCAAAGUACUGCUCCCUGGGCGCUGAAUUAGCUGCCCCCUGCUAUGUCACAAUGUCACAUAUGGGUUAAAUGCAAAGGAUACAUUUUGUUGUUGUGUGGUGUGUCAACAGUAAUCAUUAAAUUAGACACAAUUCUCAAUUUACUCUGAUAAGUUAAUGAGAACAGAUUGUUCUUUUAACAUUUCGGAAUAUACAUUUUACAUUCAUAUCAAUACAAUAGAUCAUUGUAUAAAACAUUGCUAAAUACAAUGUACAAUGAGUAGUGUAUUCAUUUGGCAGUUCGUUCGAAGGUAUAUAAGAAUAAUGAGCACCCCCCCCCAUUCUACAUGUGCAAAUCAUGGUUAAUUGUUACUAAUUACAAACCUUUACAAGGUCUACCUCAGUGUUGCUGCAGGAAAACAAUGGAGUAAGUAUGAACUGUAAGAGGAAGAGGUGGAGACGUCAGAAUGUGUGGUGGAGGGGUGAGAGGAACACAGAGAAGAUCAGGAAGAGGCAGGGGGCGUCACAGGCAAGUAAACGUGUCAAAUGAGAUCAGGGUCACCAUUGUUGACCAUGUGAUAAACCAUGGGCUAAGCGUGGCUGAGGCUGGGCGAAGGGUCCAGCCGCAACUAAGCCGCACCUCAUGGACAUCCAUAAAAGGCGCGUUCAGAAAUGAAAACAGGUACAUAAACAAAAUCCUGCACAUUGCAUACAUAUUUUACUGUUUAUGUGCAAAUGGCAUCCUGUAACAGGUAUUUGUACUGUUGAAUUCAUGGAUUCAUGUUGGUGCCAUUUCAGGACUGUACCAUGUGGCAGAGACCCAUUAUUUUCACCAAUACAAGAGAUGGCAAUUGGUGACAUGGUGAGGGCCAACAAUACAAUUAUACUUUGCGACAUCCAGAGCACCAUUCUACAAGACAUCACCUCUGGGAACAUCACCUAUGUCAGUAUCCCUACCAUAGGGUGCUGAAGAGACUUGCUGGAGCAAUGAAACAGAGAUAGAGGGUGAAGGAGCAAAGGUUCCUGUAUGUACAGAGAGUGAUGAAGAUGGAAGCGAGUGACACUGCAUACACGUUUGUGUGUGUGGUUGAAGCAGGAUUCAACCUGAGUAAAGUCAGGCAACGUGGCAGAAACACAAUAGGCCAUCGAGCCAUAGUGUCAUGGAUACGGGCGGCUCGGACGCGAGGACGUGGCAUCGGGCACAAAAAGGGCGGACGACCCACUAGCGGCUCCAGGAACAGAAAGGGGUUUAUUAAAUAAAACAGAAAACACUACAAACACAACGAAACCAAAAGGACCACGAGGGUCAAAAACUAAAUAACAAAAACUGGGCAGGAGUCCAGGUGAGGGUUCAGGCCGUGUAGUGUCAGCUCGGGAUCAGCUCAGGAUCAGCUCGCGAUCAGCUUGGGAUCAACUCAGAAAAGAGAAGAUGGAGAAGAGUUAUUGCCCUACACCUAACCUCCAGCAGUACUGAAGUAACUAUGGCAGCCUGGCUAAAAGAGAGACCUGGAAGGAAGCACAGACAUGAGGGUUUCCAGGGGUUUUGGUGUCAAGCCAAACUACUGUCAACAGCUUAAGUGAUCGGUGAGAGUGGCAGGACCACAGCACCAAUCCCCCUUUUCACCUUUAAUCUCAAAUGACUAUGAACCUCCAGAUCUCCCAUUCAUCUUAGAAAGGGGGAUUUUACUAUCCAAAAGACUGGCUAAAGAGGUAAGUCUUAAGCCUUGACUUAAAAGCAGAGAUUGUUUCUGAGUUCCGAACACUGUUACUGUGCGGUGCUUUAGAGCAUAUGCUCUUCCCCCAAAAGUAACGUUCUUUAUUCUGGGUAUGAAUAGAAGACCUGCAUCGUGCACAAGUGUACAAGCCGGAAUGUAGUUGCAAAUGAAGUCACUCACAUACUGCGAUGCAAGACCAUUUACAGCUUUAUGAGUUAAGAGUAGUAUUUUGUACUCAAUACAAAAUCUAACUGGUAGCCAGUGAAGUGAAUAUAAAAUUGGGGUAAUAUGAUCAUAUUUUUUAGUUUUGGUGAGGACUCUGGCUGUUGCAUUCUGGACUAGCUGGAGUUUACUUAAUAACCUAUUUGGACUAGCUACAACUCUCUCUAUUAUUUUAGGGAUAAAUGGUAGAUUAGAGAUUGGUCUAUAGUUUUUCAUUUCCAAGGGAUCCAAGUUUGGCUUCUUCAAUAGAGGUUUAAUUACUGCUAGUUUAAGAGAUUUUCAUGAAUGGCCAAUGCUUAUUGAGGAGUUAACUAUUGCUAGUAGGGGUUCAAUCACUGCUGGGAUCAUCUCUUUGAAUAAUUAUGUUGGAACAGGGUCUAGCAUACUAGUAGAUGAAUUUGAAGAUAAGAUUAAGGACAUCAGUUCUGAUUGGUUAACCAUGGUAAAUGAUUCAAAUAGGGUGGUUGCAGCAUUGUGUCACGGCCAGAGAAUGUAGUUAUUGGAAUAGUCAAAAUGUUCUGUCUAAUUGAACAUAUUUUUUGGUCAAAAAAUUGCAUAAAGUCAUCACUGGAAAAUAACGCGGCCACACUUUGAGUAGCAGUCUGGUUAUUAGUCAGCUUGGACACCAUAUUAAAUAGGAAUCUAUGAUUAUUUUUGUUUAUUUCAAUUAGCUGAGAUAGAUACUCUGAUUUAGCGGCACUAAAAGCCUUUUUCUUGCUACCCAUAGCCUCUUUCCAUGCUAGUUCGAACACCACUAAUUUAUUUUGACACCUCUUACGUUCUAAUUUCCGUGCCUCCUGUUUUAAAGUACGCAAGUGGUAAUUAUAGCAAGGAGCAUUUUUAUUUCUUUUUUAAUUUUUAAUGGAGCAAUUUUAUCUAAGGUAGAACUAAGCGUAGACGGUAAACAAUCCGUAGUGCUAUCAAGUUCAGCGGGAUUCGACAUUACUUUUGACCAAAAACAAUAGCUCAGGGAGAUUAUCAGUAAAGUUACUUGCUGUAUUUGACGUGAUUGCACGUUUGCCGCAGAAGUCGAGGAGUUAAUAUUUUGAGCAAGGUAAAUAUUAAACGUAAUUGGAUGAUGGUCAGAGAUAAUACUGGUCUGAGGCAAUAGAGUUACAUUAUCAAGACCAAACAAUAGGAUUAAA